This 561-nucleotide ribosomal RNA is filed under the name Colletotrichum gloeosporioides. RNAcentral describes it as "eukaryotic LSU rRNA". The stretch from base 199 to 352 matches the Rfam family "5.8S ribosomal RNA". The record is from RNAcentral. Lineage: Eukaryota; Fungi; Ascomycota; Sordariomycetes; Glomerellales; Glomerellaceae.
UUGGUGAACCAGCGGAGGGAUCAUUACUGAGUUUACGCUCUAUAACCCUUUGUGAACAUACCUAUAACUGUUGCUUCGGCGGGUAGGGUCUCCGCGACCCUCCCGGCCUCCCGCCUCCGGGCGGGUCGGCGCCCGCCGGAGGAUAACCAAACUCUGAUUUAACGACGUUUCUUCUGAGUGGUACAAGCAAAUAAUCAAAACUUUUAACAACGGAUCUCUUGGUUCUGGCAUCGAUGAAGAACGCAGCGAAAUGCGAUAAGUAAUGUGAAUUGCAGAAUUCAGUGAAUCAUCGAAUCUUUGAACGCACAUUGCGCCCGCCAGCAUUCUGGCGGGCAUGCCUGUUCGAGCGUCAUUUCAACCCUCAAGCUCUGCUUGGUGUUGGGGCCCUACAGCUGAUGUAGGCCCUCAAAGGUAGUGGCGGACCCUCCCGGAGCCUCCUUUGCGUAGUAACUUUACGUCUCGCACUGGGAUCCGGAGGGACUCUUGCCGUAAAACCCCCCAAUUUUCCAAAGGUUGACCUCGGAUCAGGUAGGAAUACCCGCUGAACUUAAGCAUAUCAAU